RNAcentral lists this non-coding RNA (151 nucleotides) under uncultured Phyllobacterium sp. Lineage: Bacteria; Pseudomonadati; Pseudomonadota; Alphaproteobacteria; Hyphomicrobiales; Phyllobacteriaceae. The record is from RNAcentral.
GUCCGGUGCCUGCAUGCAGGAGAAUCGGGAAGCCGGUGCAAAUCCGGCACGUGCCCAACGCUGUAUAGGGGAUGGGCCGCGCAGAUUGCCACGGGGAAACCCGGAAGGCGCGCGGUUCAGGUGAACCUCAGUCAGAAGACCGGCCGGACCG